Non-coding RNA from Paramuricea clavata, 244 nucleotides. Lineage: Eukaryota; Metazoa; Cnidaria; Anthozoa; Malacalcyonacea; Plexauridae. The record is from the annotation of a GenBank genome assembly.
CGGCUUGUUGGCAACAAGAUGUGAGAUUUUCGCGUGUGUAUGGCAAGUCCGAUACAGUGAUGAUAUCGCUAACAUACGUUCAUGAUGAUGAUGUCGACAGUUUGGAACAAGUUGUGUUGAUAUUAUCAGACUUGUUGCAAGAUUGUUCCAACAAGUGUGAUACAGUCAUGAUAUAAGAAUAUUGUUACAACCUUGCGUCGUCAACCUUGUAACAUUCUUGUUAUAUCAUGACGUUAGAACAACC